UGCAUCGGCCGGGAAUCGAACCUGGGCCGCCCGCGUGGGAGGCGAGCAUUUUACCACUGAACCAUCGAUGC
This 71-nucleotide transfer RNA is filed under the name Cordylochernes scorpioides. Its description in RNAcentral is "tRNA-Gly". Lineage: Eukaryota; Metazoa; Arthropoda; Arachnida; Pseudoscorpiones; Chernetidae. The record is from RNAcentral.